GACGAACGCUGGCGGCGUGCCUAAUACAUGCAAGUUGAGCGCUGAAGGUUGGUACUUGUACCAACUGGAUGAGCAGCGAACGGGUGAGUAACGCGUGGGGAAUCUGCCUUUGAGCGGGGGACAACAUCUGGAAACGAAUGCUAAUACCGCAUAAAAACUUUAAACACAAGUUUUAAGUUUGAAAGAUGCAAUUGCAUCACUCAAAGAUGAUCCCGCGUUGUAUUAGCUAGUUGGUGAGGUAAAGGCUCAACAAGGCGAUGAUACAUAGCCGACCUGAGAGGGUGGUCGGCCACAUUGGGACUGAGACACGGCCCAAACUCCUACGGGAGGCAGCAGUAGGGAAUCUUCGGCAAUGGACGAAAGUCUGACCGAGCAACGCCGCGUGAGUGAAGAAGGUUUUCGGAUCGUAAAACUCUGUUGGUAGAGAAGAACGUUAGUGAGAGUGGAAAGCUCAUCAAGUGACGGUAACUACCCAGAAAGGGACGGCUAACUACGUG
RNAcentral lists this ribosomal RNA (497 nucleotides) under uncultured bacterium. RNAcentral's name for it is "partial 16S ribosomal RNA". It matches the Rfam family "Bacterial small subunit ribosomal RNA", at positions 28 to 507 of the family's 1533-position model. The record is from RNAcentral.